UCCUUUCUGUCUUUGCCUUUUCCAUACAAAACAUUUGCUCUAGAUUUUAGGAAGCGUCCAUCUGUGGAGAGGGUGUGGGUCAAGGAGAAGUAAGUCAGAGAACAAGAGGUAAUAUUUAGCUUCUGACGCAUACACAGUUGGGUUAUUCAAUAAGUUAAUUGCUUCUCAAGCCAGAGCAUUGUCUUGAGAGAUAAUUUUUCUAAAUUUUUUACUCUUUUUGUUUCAGCCUAGGUUGGAGAUCUCAGUUCACAGAGCCAUAGGUCCUCUGGUAGCAUAAGGAAAUGCUCUGCUUGCCAUUAAGACAUAUCCAGAGACAGGAAGAAUGAAGCGUGUGGAGGCUUGUGAAGGAAGGCUCAUCAGGGACAAAAAUAAGAGUACGGGUUUCCUGAACAUUUGAGCAUCGAGUUAAAUUGGUUCAAGGACUGAUGACCAAGUCUGAGCUAUUAAAGAUCUGCUGUGCCAACUGCCCCAAACAACUCCCAGGGUGACCUGUGAAAAUUGGAAAUCUCAAUGGAGAGGCCUGGAAGAACAUGGAUCUUGUUCAUUCCCAUUCACCUGGGAUGAAUUUCAGGAUCUUAGGACCUAUGAUUGAACUGGCAGCUGAUCGAUUCAAUGGAAUUUAGAGUUCUCUUUCUUGACACUGAACCGAAAUUUGCUUUGGCUAAAAGAGUCCUGUGAUUUACAGAGGCAAUAAAGAACUAGAGGGGGCACAUUUAUCAUGGAGUUCAGCACACCAGGAGCCAUUUUCUCCAGCGGUAAAGGCAAGUGAUAAAA
This 774-nucleotide long non-coding RNA is filed under the name Panthera leo (lion). Its description in RNAcentral is "lncRNA (ENSPLOG00000021898.1)". Lineage: Eukaryota; Metazoa; Chordata; Mammalia; Carnivora; Felidae. The record is from RNAcentral.